UUCAACAACAAACACUUCCACCCAAGAUUGUGCAUGGGGCUUAUCAAAAGGAAGGAAAAAGGAGGUACUGUACUAGAAGACCUUACCAAAUGCAGAUGCAAAUGAAGAGAAAGGUGUUAGGGGAGUUGUUACUGACAUUGUUAUAGAAGAUAAUGGUCAACCAAAAGGAACAACACCAGGCAUAUUAGCCAGAGAAGGAGAAGCAAAAUUGGCAGUUUGUUUCCUAACAUUGUAGAAAAAACAACAAUCUGUAUUAAAAGCUGUAAAUGAAGAAUCCACAUUAGGUUAUGUUGAGGAAUUAUUUGAUGCUCUUCCUUUGAGAGUCGGUAUGAGAUCAAAACGCUUAAGGAUGCACUUGACAAUGCAAAAGAAAAUCAUGACGUCAUUCCUGAACAAAUAAAAAAGUACUUUAUUUGGACUGAUAAGGCUACACUGGUUAGGGAAAGAAAGUCAAGAUUCAAAUGAAACAGAAGUUUAAUGUAGGUUAUGCAGUAAUGUUAAAAUUAGGAAUUCAAGUGCAAGUAUCGGAAGGAAAUGGCUUCCAUAUUGUAAGAACUGCACAUGCUGGUAUUACUCUUCGGUUGUUUCAGCCAAGCUUGUGCCAGAUCCAACAUAUGAAUCGCCUGUAUGCAACAUGACGGUACAAUCUAAUACAGUAAUGUUAAUGCAGGACCCCAAUGGAAAUAAACCUGCUAUUGGUUUUCUUGGGCUAUCCUGGCCAAUGUUUGUUAAUGUUUCCCUGUUUGUUAACUGUAAACUUUUGGCUGAAUAAAUAAAUGAAUGAA
This 785-nucleotide long non-coding RNA is filed under the name Anneissia japonica. RNAcentral describes it as "uncharacterized LOC117104796". Lineage: Eukaryota; Metazoa; Echinodermata; Crinoidea; Comatulida; Comatulidae. The record is from RNAcentral.